GUUCCUGGCUCAGGACGAACGCUGGCGGCGUGCUUAACACAUGCAAGUCGAACGAAGAGCGAUGGAAGCUUGCUUCUAUCAAUCUUAGUGGCGAACGGGUGAGUAACGCGUAAUCAACCUGCCCUUCAGAGGGGGACGAACAGUUGGAAACGACUGCUAAUACCGCAUACGAUCCAAUCUCGGCAUCGAGACUGGAUGAAAGGUGGCCUCUAUUUAUAAGCUAUCACUGAAGGAGGGG
This 238-nucleotide ribosomal RNA is filed under the name uncultured bacterium. RNAcentral describes it as "partial 16S ribosomal RNA". It matches the Rfam family "Bacterial small subunit ribosomal RNA", at positions 15 to 229 of the family's 1533-position model. The record is from RNAcentral.